This 260-nucleotide signal recognition particle RNA is filed under the name bovine gut metagenome. RNAcentral describes it as "Bacterial large signal recognition particle RNA". It matches the Rfam family "Bacterial large signal recognition particle RNA". Rfam says of the family: The signal recognition particle (SRP) is a universally conserved ribonucleoprotein involved in the co-translational targeting of proteins to membranes. The record is from RNAcentral.
GCGCUAGGCGGGGAGUCAGCGGUGCCCUGAACUUGCAAUCCGCUAUAGCAAGGCCGAAUGCUUCCCGAGGCUCGCCCUAUGGUUGGCUGCGCGCGGUAAGGCGUGUUGAUGAUAAGGUCUUAUGCAACGGCCGUCCGCGAACCGCGUCAGGAUAGGAAUAUAGCAGCGCUAAACGGUUCCGGUCGUGUGCCAUAAGGUUGCUUUAUAGGAGCGACCUGCCGCGUUUACGCUUCGGUAGGACAAGUCGAAGGAAGAUGCGC